Molecule: non-coding RNA, 74 nt
Organism: Zootermopsis nevadensis
Lineage: Eukaryota; Metazoa; Arthropoda; Insecta; Blattodea; Termopsidae
Source: Rfam
GCCACGGUGGUCUAGCGGUUAGAACGCUGGCCUUGUAAUCCUGGGAGUCUCGGGUUCGAUUCCCGGCGGUGCCC